This is a long non-coding RNA of Carlito syrichta (Philippine tarsier), 1198 nucleotides long. RefSeq lists it as uncharacterized. The transcript has 7 exons. The record is from RefSeq and is a predicted model, not a curated record. Lineage: Eukaryota; Metazoa; Chordata; Mammalia; Primates; Tarsiidae.
UGCAGAAACAGAUUUUGAUCGAAACACUUUCACUAAAAUCUUCCAGUGGUGUUUAUUUUCUCUGAUAGCCAAGAGAAGGACUUUUGAGUAAAGGAUGACCAACAAGUGGCCUUGAGGGAGUUAUUAAGACUUAGUGCUCUUUAUCCUGUUGAAGCUCUAAAUGAAUCCAUGCCAGUAACUAUAUGCCUGAGUAUGCCUGCAUGUGUCCUUAAAAAAGUUAUAUCCAUGCAAGGUGAUGUAAGACAACAGUGGGAUGAAUGUUAUUGCUCAUGUGUCAUGUGUCCCUAUCUGUCUUGAUAAAUGACACUCAUGUUUCCAGUGUACUUUCUAGGUGGUGUUGACGUGGAUGGAAGUCCAAUGGCUGUAAGGAACUAUCUUUGUCUUGGGAAGUCCCAGAGGAUACCAGGGAGCCCAGGACACAAGCCAUGUGCAUCCCAUUAGAUGCUUGUUGAUCCUUUAUCAAGUGGCAUUUCCAUGGAUAAAAGGCUAAUAGCUGCACAGAAACAUCUUUGUCAUGUGAGAUCCCAGAGGAUGCCAGGGAGCCCCAGGAUACGUGCAGGCAUCCAAUUAGAUGCUGGUUGAUCCUUCAUCAAGGUGGUGUUGCCAUGAAAUGAUGGCCAGUAGGGCAAAGAGCCAUCUUUGUCUUGAUGCCAGGGAGCCCUAGGACACGUGGUUUGCAUCUCAUUAGAUGCUGGUCGAUCCUUCAUGAAAGUGGCGUUCAUGGAUUACAGGCCAGUGGCCACAAGUUAUUAUCUUUGUCUUAUGAGGUUUCAGAAGAUGUCAAGGAGUCCCAUGAUACAUGCAAUGUGCAUCCCACUGGAUCCUGGUUGAUUCUUCAUCAAAGGAACCAGAUGGUACAUGGAUUGAUGAUAACUUCCAUAUAUGCAUUCCUUGGAAAGCUGAACAAAAUGAGUGAAAACUAUACCAUCAUUCUCAGCAAACUGAGGUCUAGCACAUGUCUCCAACAGGAAUUAGAGAGGAAUGUGAUGCUGUGUCCGUGUGCUUGGGCAGUUCCUUGACGUGGUUUCUAGAAGGCUUCUGUUCCAGACAAUCAAUGGGAUCUUUGUCUCCAUUAGGCAUCCGAGCUGAUUUUGGGAUGCAGGUUGUGCAUGGAUCGAUGAUGACUUCCAUAUAUGCAUUCCUUGGAAAGCUGAACAAAAUGAGUGAAAACUCUAUACCAUCAUCCUCAUUGAACUAA